CUGGGGCUCAACCCCAGACCUGCAUCCGAUACGGUCGAGCUAGAGUUUGGUAGGGGAGACUGGAAUUCCUGGUGUAGCGGUGGAAUGCGCAGAUAUCAGGAGGAACACCAAUGGCGAAGGCAGGUCUCUGGGCCAAUACUGACACUGAGGAGCGAAAGCGUGGGGAGCGAACAGGAUUAGAUACCCUGGUAGUCCACGCCGUAAACGGUGGGCGCUAGUUGUGGGAACCUUCCACGGUUUCUGCGACGCAGCUAACGCAUUAAGCGCCCCGCCUGGGGAGUACGAUCGCAAGAUUAAAACUCAAAGGAAUUGACGGGGCCCCGCACAAGCAGCGGAGCAUGCGGCUUAAUUCGACGCAACGCGAAGAACCUUACCAAGGCUUGACAUAUACAGGAAUAUGGCAGAGAUGUCAUAGCGGUAAAACGUCUGUAUACAGGUGGUGCAUGGUUGUCGUCAGCUCGUGUCGUGAGAUGUUGGGUUAAGUCCCGCAACGAGCGCAACCCUCGUUCUGUGUUGCCAGCAUUUAGUUGGGGACUCACAGGAGACUGCCGGGGUUAACUCGGAGGAAGGUGGGGAUGACGUCAAAUCAUCAUGCCCCUUAUGUCUUGGGCUGCACGCAUGCUACAAUGGCUGGUACAAAGGGCUGCAAUACUGCAAAGUGGAGCGAAUCCCAAAAAGCCAGUCUCAGUUCGGAUUGGGGUC
RNAcentral lists this ribosomal RNA (702 nucleotides) under uncultured bacterium. RNAcentral describes it as "bacterial SSU rRNA". It matches the Rfam family "Bacterial small subunit ribosomal RNA", at positions 602 to 1305 of the family's 1533-position model. The record is from RNAcentral.